RNAcentral lists this ribosomal RNA (273 nucleotides) under uncultured bacterium. Its description in RNAcentral is "partial 16S ribosomal RNA". It matches the Rfam family "Bacterial small subunit ribosomal RNA", at positions 524 to 796 of the family's 1533-position model. The record is from RNAcentral.
UACGGAGGAUGCGAGCGUUAUCCGGAUUUAUUGGGUUUAAAGGGUGCGCAGGCGGGAUUUUAAGUCAGCGGUGAAAUUUUCAGGCUCAACCUGAACACUGCCGUUGAAACUGGGAUUCUUGAGUAUGGAUGAAGUAGGCGGAAUUCGUUGUGUAGCGGUGACAUGCUUAGAUAUAACGAGGAACUCCGAUUGCGUAGGCAGCUUACUAAGCCAUAACUGACGCUCAAGCACGAAAGCGUGGGGAUCAAACAGGAUUAGAUACCCGCGUAGUCC